This is a long non-coding RNA of Saccostrea echinata, 341 nucleotides long. RefSeq lists it as uncharacterized. The transcript has 2 exons. Lineage: Eukaryota; Metazoa; Mollusca; Bivalvia; Ostreida; Ostreidae. The record is from RefSeq and is a predicted model, not a curated record.
AACAUGUCCAGAUCAUUUUCCGUAGAAAACCCCGAGAGGGUUGUUUUGUAAAAUCUACAAACUGUGAACAUUAUCGAAGCAUUGCAGAAGCCCAGGGACAGUUAUGAAUAAUUAAUUCAUAAUUGUUUAUGCCCGGGAAAUUCCAAUCAGCCAAAAGGGAAGCUUGAACUUGAAGGUCACAAACAUGUGCAAGAUUGCAGAUCCACGUUGCCUCGUCUGAUGUCAUGUCGUGCAGUGAGCAUGAGAAAAACAACCCUACUUUACCCUAGACUAGAAAAAAGACUGGAGGUCAGAAUGCAGGAUGAUUGAGCAAGGAGUGCUGGCAGAUGGACUAUUGAGGU